Molecule: ribosomal RNA, 551 nt
Filed under: Muscodor sp. LGMF 1254
Lineage: Eukaryota; Fungi; Ascomycota; Sordariomycetes; Xylariales
Description: eukaryotic LSU rRNA
Rfam family: 5.8S ribosomal RNA (bases 199-352)
Source: RNAcentral
UUACAGAGUUUUCUAAACUCCCAACCCUAUGUGAACUUACCUUUGUUGCUUCGGCGGCGGAGGCUACCCUGCGGGAGAAUACCACUUAGUGGUUACCCUGUAGUUUCAGGUACAUCAGCUACCCGGUAGUCAUCCCCGCCGGCGGCCAACUAAACUCUGUUUUCUUUGGAAUUCUGAAUAACAAACUUAAUAAGUUAAAACUUUCAACAACGGAUCUCUUGGUUCUGGCAUCGAUGAAGAACGCAGCGAAAUGCGAUAAGUAAUGUGAAUUGCAGAAUUCAGUGAAUCAUCGAAUCUUUGAACGCACAUUGCGCCCAUUAGCAUUCUAGUGGGCAUGCCUGUUCGAGCGUCAUUUCACCACUUAAGCCUUGUUGCUUAGCGUUGGGAGCCUACGGCACGGCCCGUAGCUCCUUAAAGUGAUUGGCGGAGUUGGUUCUCACUCUAAGCGUAGUAAUUAUAUCUCGCUUCUGUAGUGGUCCCGGCCCCUGCCGUAAAACCCCUUAUACAAAGGUUGACCUCGGAUCAGGUAGGAAUACCCGCUGAACUUAAGC